GACAGAGGGUGCAAACGUUGCUCGGAAUCACUGGGCGUAAAGGGCGUGUAGGCGGGAAGGAAAGUCAGAUGUGAAAUCCCCGGGCUCAACCUGGGAACUGCAUCUGUGACUGUAUAGCUAGAGUACGGUAGAGGGGGAUGGAAUUCCGCGUGUAGCAGUGAAAUGCGUAGAUAUGCGGAGGAACACCGAUGGCGAAGGCAAUCCCCUGGACCUGUACUGACGCUCAUGCACGAAAGCGUGGGGAGCAAACAGG
RNAcentral lists this ribosomal RNA (253 nucleotides) under uncultured bacterium. RNAcentral describes it as "partial 16S ribosomal RNA". It matches the Rfam family "Bacterial small subunit ribosomal RNA", at positions 524 to 776 of the family's 1533-position model. The record is from RNAcentral.